This 253-nucleotide ribosomal RNA is filed under the name uncultured bacterium. RNAcentral's name for it is "partial 16S ribosomal RNA". It matches the Rfam family "Bacterial small subunit ribosomal RNA", at positions 524 to 776 of the family's 1533-position model. The record is from RNAcentral.
GACAGAGGGUGCAAGCGUUGUUCGGAAUCAUUGGGCGUAAAGGGCGCGUAGGCGGUUUUGUAAGUCGAAUGUGAAAGCCCAGGGCUCAACCUUGGAAGUGCAUCCGAAACUGCGAAACUUGAAUCCUGGAGAGGGUGGUGGAAUUCCCAGUGUAGAGGUGAAAUUCGUAGAUAUUCGGAAGAACACCAGUGGCGAAGGCGACUAACUGGACAUGUAUUGACGCUGAGGUGCGAAAGCGUGGGGAGCAAACAGG